RNAcentral lists this ribosomal RNA (497 nucleotides) under uncultured bacterium. RNAcentral describes it as "partial 16S ribosomal RNA". It matches the Rfam family "Bacterial small subunit ribosomal RNA", at positions 28 to 507 of the family's 1533-position model. The record is from RNAcentral.
GACGAACGCUGGCGGCGUGCCUAAUACAUGCAAGUAGAACGCUGAAGCUUGGUGCUUGCACCGAGCGGAUGAGUUGCGCACGGGUGAGUAACGCGUAGGUAACCUGCCUGGUAGCGGGGGAUAACUAUUGGAAACGAUAGCUAAUACCGCAUAAGAGUAGAUGUUGCAUGACAUUUGCUUAAAAGGUGCAAUUGCAUCACUACCAGAUGGACCUGCGUUGUAUUAGCUAGUUGGUGAGGUAACGGCUCACCAAGGCAACGUUACAUAGCCGACCUGAGAGGGUGAUCGGCCACACUGGGACUGAGACACGGCCCAGACUCCUACGGGAGGCAGCAGUAGGGAAUCUUCGGCAAUGGACGGAAGUCUGACCGAGCAACGCCGCGUGAGUGAAGAAGGUUUUCGGAUCGUAAAGCUCUGUUGUAAGAGAAGAACGAGUGUGAGAGUGGAAAGUUCACACUGUGACGGUAUCUUACCAGAAAGGGACGGCUAACUACGUG